Molecule: ribosomal RNA, 2902 nt
Filed under: Escherichia coli UMEA 3662-1
Lineage: Bacteria; Pseudomonadati; Pseudomonadota; Gammaproteobacteria; Enterobacterales; Enterobacteriaceae
Description: bacterial LSU rRNA
Rfam family: Bacterial large subunit ribosomal RNA
Source: RNAcentral
UUAAGCGACUAAGCGUACACGGUGGAUGCCCUGGCAGUCAGAGGCGAUGAAGGACGUGCUAAUCUGCGAUAAGCGUCGGUGAGGUGAUAUGAACCGUUAUAACCGGCGAUUUCCGAAUGGGGAAACCCAGUGUGUUUCGACACACUAUCAUUAACUGAAUCCAUAGGUUAAUGAGGCGAACCGGGGGAACUGAAACAUCUAAGUACCCCGAGGAAAAGAAAUCAACCGAGAUUCCCCCAGUAGCGGCGAGCGAACGGGGAGGAGCCCAGAGCCUGAAUCAGUGUGUGUGUUAGUGGAAGCGUCUGGAAAGGCGCGCGAUACAGGGUGACAGCCCCGUACACAAAAAUGCACAUAUUGUGAGCUCGAUGAGUAGGGCGGGACACGUGGUAUCCUGUCUGAAUAUGGGGGGACCAUCCUCCAAGGCUAAAUACUCCUGACUGACCGAUAGUGAACCAGUACCGUGAGGGAAAGGCGAAAAGAACCCCGGCGAGGGGAGUGAAAAAGAACCUGAAACCGUGUACGUACAAGCAGUGGGAGCCUCUUUAUGGGGUGACUGCGUACCUUUUGUAUAAUGGGUCAGCGACUUAUAUUCUGUAGCAAGGUUAACCGAAUAGGGGAGCCGAAGUGAAACCGAGUCUUAACUGGGCGUUAAGUUGCAGGGUAUAGACCCGAAACCCGGUGAUCUAGCCAUGGGCAGGUUGAAGGUUGGGUAACACUAACUGGAGGACCGAACCGACUAAUGUUGAAAAAUUAGCGGAUGACUUGUGGCUGGGGGUGAAAGGCCAAUCAAACCGGGAGAUAGCUGGUUCUCCCCGAAAGCUAUUUAGGUAGCGCCUCGUGAAUUCAUCUCCGGGGGUAGAGCACUGUUUCGGCAAGGGGGUCAUCCCGACUUACCAACCCGAUGCAAACUGCGAAUACCGGAGAAUGUUAUCACGGGAGACACACGGCGGGUGCUAACGUUCGUCGUGAAGAGGGAAACAACCCAGACCGCCAGCUAAGGUCCCAAAGUCAUGGUUAAGUGGGAAACGAUGUGGGAAGGCCCAGACAGCCAGGAUGUUGGCUUAGAAGCAGCCAUCAUUUAAAGAAAGCGUAAUAGCUCACUGGUCGAGUCGGCCUGCGCGGAAGAUGUAACGGGGCUAAACCAUGCACCGAAGCUGCGGCAGCGACACUAUGUGUUGUUGGGUAGGGGAGCGUUCUGUAAGCCUGUGAAGGUGGCCUGUGAGGGUUGCUGGAGGUAUCAGAAGUGCGAAUGCUGACAUAAGUAACGAUAAAGCGGGUGAAAAGCCCGCUCGCCGGAAGACCAAGGGUUCCUGUCCAACGUUAAUCGGGGCAGGGUGAGUCGACCCCUAAGGCGAGGCCGAAAGGCGUAGUCGAUGGGAAACAGGUUAAUAUUCCUGUACUUGGUGUUACUGCGAAGGGGGGACGGAGAAGGCUAUGUUGGCCGGGCGACGGUUGUCCCGGUUUAAGCGUGUAGGCUGGUUUUCCAGGCAAAUCCGGAAAACCAAGGCUGAGGCGUGAUGACGAGGCACUACGGUGCUGAAGCGACAAAUGCCCUGCUUCCAGGAAAAGCCUCUAAGCAUCAGGUAACAUCAAAUCGUACCCCAAACCGACACAGGUGGUCAGGUAGAGAAUACCAAGGCGCUUGAGAGAACUCGGGUGAAGGAACUAGGCAAAAUGGUGCCGUAACUUCGGGAGAAGGCACGCUGAUAUGUAGGUGAAGCGACUUGCUCGUGGAGCUGAAAUCAGUCGAAGAUACCAGCUGGCUGCAACUGUUUAUUAAAAACACAGCACUGUGCAAACACGAAAGUGGACGUAUACGGUGUGACGCCUGCCCGGUGCCGGAAGGUUAAUUGAUGGGGUUAGCGGUAACGCGAAGCUCUUGAUCGAAGCCCCGGUAAACGGCGGCCGUAACUAUAACGGUCCUAAGGUAGCGAAAUUCCUUGUCGGGUAAGUUCCGACCUGCACGAAUGGCGUAAUGAUGGCCAGGCUGUCUCCACCCGAGACUCAGUGAAAUUGAACUCGCUGUGAAGAUGCAGUGUACCCGCGGCAAGACGGAAAGACCCCGUGAACCUUUACUAUAGCUUGACACUGAACAUUGAGCCUUGAUGUGUAGGAUAGGUGGGAGGCUUUGAAGUGUGGACGCCAGUCUGCAUGGAGCCGACCUUGAAAUACCACCCUUUAAUGUUUGAUGUUCUAACGUUGGCCCGUAAUCCGGGUUGCGGACAGUGUCUGGUGGGUAGUUUGACUGGGGCGGUCUCCUCCUAAAGAGUAACGGAGGAGCACGAAGGUUGGCUAAUCCUGGUCGGACAUCAGGAGGUUAGUGCAAUGGCAUAAGCCAGCUUGACUGCGAGCGUGACGGCGCGAGCAGGUGCGAAAGCAGGUCAUAGUGAUCCGGUGGUUCUGAAUGGAAGGGCCAUCGCUCAACGGAUAAAAGGUACUCCGGGGAUAACAGGCUGAUACCGCCCAAGAGUUCAUAUCGACGGCGGUGUUUGGCACCUCGAUGUCGGCUCAUCACAUCCUGGGGCUGAAGUAGGUCCCAAGGGUAUGGCUGUUCGCCAUUUAAAGUGGUACGCGAGCUGGGUUUAGAACGUCGUGAGACAGUUCGGUCCCUAUCUGCCGUGGGCGCUGGAGAACUGAGGGGGGCUGCUCCUAGUACGAGAGGACCGGAGUGGACGCAUCACUGGUGUUCGGGUUGUCAUGCCAAUGGCACUGCCCGGUAGCUAAAUGCGGAAGAGAUAAGUGCUGAAAGCAUCUAAGCACGAAACUUGCCCCGAGAUGAGUUCUCCCUGAGACCUAGAGUCUCCUGAAGGAACGUUGAAGACGACGACGUUGAUAGGCCGGGUGUGUAAGCGCAGCGAUGCGUUGAGCUAACCGGUACUAAUGAACCGUGAGGCUUAACCUU